Molecule: long non-coding RNA, 2375 nt
Organism: Equus caballus (horse)
Lineage: Eukaryota; Metazoa; Chordata; Mammalia; Perissodactyla; Equidae
Source: Ensembl
CAAAAUUAGUAUAUGGAAAUCUGUGGUGUUUUUUGUACACUAAUUACAAACUAUCAAAAAGAGAAAGUAAGAAAACAAUCUCAUUUACAAUUGUAUCAAAAAGGAAAAUACCUCGGGGCUGGCCCCGUGGCCGAGUGGUUAAGUUUGCGCGCUCCGCUGCAGGCGGCCCAGUGUUUCGUUGGUUCGAAUCCUAGGCGCGGACAUGGCACUGCUCAUCAGACCACGCUGAGGCAGCGUCCCACAUGCCACAACUAGAAGAACCCACAACGAAGAAUACACAACUAUGUACCGGGGGGCUUUGGGGAGAAAAAGGAAAAAAUAAAAUCUUUUUUUUUUAAAAAAAAAAGGAAAAUACCUAGGAAUAAAUUUAACCAAAGAAGUGAAAGACCUGUAUAUUGAAAAUUGUAAGACGCUGAUGAAAGAAAUCAAAGAAGACAGAAAUAAAUGAAAGAUAUUCCCUGCUCAUAGAUUGAGAGAAUUAAUAGUGUUAAAAUGUCCAUACUACUCAAAGCAAGCUACAGAUUUCUUGCAAUUCCUAUCAAAAUUCCAGCAGCAUUUUUCACAAAACUUGGACAAUAAUUCUAAAAUUUGUAUAGAACGAAGUGAUCCUGAAUAGCCAAAGCCAUCUGGAGAAAAAAGGACAAAGCUGGAAGUAUGAUAUUCCCUGAUUUCAGACUAUGCUACAAAGCCAUAGUAAUCAAAACAGUGUGGUAUUGACAUGGAAACAGACACACAGAUUAAUGAAACAAAAUUUAGAGCCCAGAAAUAAUCCUGUACAUAUAUGGACAAUUAAUUAAUGACAAAGUAGCCAAGAACAUAUAAUGAAGACAGAAUAAUCUCUUCAAUAAAUGGCACUGGGAAAACAGGAGAGCCACAUAAAAAAGAGUGAAACUAGACUAAUAUAUUACAUCAUACACAAAAAUUAAAUCAAAAUGGAUUAAAGACUUUAAUGUAAGACCUGAAAUCAUACAAUUCCUAGAAGAAAACUUAGGCAGGAGGCUCUUUAACAUUAGUUUUUCCAAAAUUUUGUGGAUCUGACUCCAAAGACAAGUGAAACAAAAGCAAAAAUAAAUAAAUGGGAAUACAUGAAACUAAAAUGCUUCUGCGAGGGAGAUCUCUUCAAGAUGGUGGUGUGAGCAGACAUUGAACUCGCCUCCUCCCACGAACACAACCAGGUUACAACAAUUUUUGGAAGAAUUACCCUGGAUUGAAAGCUGAAAACUGGAUAAAAAAAAAGGGACAGUCCUGACGAAGGCAGAAGAGGCAGUAAGUAAUUCCUGCUGGAGAGGAAAAAAGCCACCUUUGGGAGCAGCAGAUCUUCUCAGCUGGCCAGGCAGGAGCCACCCUAAGGUGUGUGGAAGACAGAUACGUCUUGGAAACUGACAGUAGAUUGUUGCAAGCUUAACUUAAUGGUGACUAACUGCAGCUGCUGUACCGGAUGGAAUUUCAUUGCUUAAGCAAAUUCACAGAUCUCCUGGUACCUGGUCUUACAGUGGGAACCACAGCCACUCAAAUGGAAAGUCAGUGCAGUGGGAGUAAUUGGAUCCCAGAAUGGCAGUGGCCAAGUGGCAUCACUCAAACUUCAAAGGCCAGACCCAUCAGAAACAGUUUUGUUUAAGGUGGCAAGGCCAGCAAUACAUCUUCACUGUCUUACCUCUGAAGUACAUCAACUCUCCAGCCCUAAAUUACAUUUGGUGUGCGGGGAUCUUGAUCAACAUUCCCUUUCAAAGGAUAUCAUAUUGACCCAUUAUGUUAAUGAAAUUGUGCUGAAUGGACCCAGUAAGCAGAAAUAACAACUACUGUACACUUGUUGGAUUCAUGAACAGAUUGUCAUGGUGGCGGGAUUGAAGGUUAUGCAUGGGCUCAGAAACAUGGACCUCCACUCACCCAGGCUGAGUGCUAAUCUGCCAGCAGCAGACAGCAACACUGUGUCGUUGACAUGGCACAAUUCUAAGGAUGUUCAGCCAGCUAUUUGGUAGCAGGUUGAUUACAUUGGACCACUUUCAUCAUGGAAAGGGAUCUUUAUCACCAUUCUUUCCCCAAAGAUAUUACACUAAUCAACUACAUUAAUGAAUUUAUGCUGAUAGAACCUAUUGAACAAGAAUUGCAACUUCUCUACAGUUAUUGCCUACAGCUAAGACCUCAUGAAUAGCUUCCUAAGAUCAGUUGACAGAGGAAGAGAAAACACAAGUCUGUUUACAGAUGGUUUUGCACCAUAUACAGACUUUAUGCUCUGUUGAACUAGAAGUCUAUGUUCCAGAAGAAAGAAUGCUUCCAACAGGAGAUAAAAUGAUAACCCCCUCGAAUAAAAGUUAAGACUGCCACCUGGCUACAUCGUGUAUCUCAUACCUCUGAAUAAACUUGCAAGGAAGGGA